ACAGUGAGAAGUGGGACCAGUGCUGGGUCCUUCCCUUGCUGCUGAUGUCCCCCAGGCUCACCCUCCCAGGGGUGGAUUUUACCUUUGAGGAGGACAAUCCCUGACCUUCAAACCCACAGUUUUGGGGAGUCUCCCAGAGGAAAAUAGUGUCAAAGCCAUGCCAGCUCUGCACAAGCAGAUAUUCCCACCUGCUGAUAACAUCCAUGGAAUCUAAGAGUGUUAUAAAAGAGAAAAUUACCAAGUUGGAGGGUCA
Molecule: long non-coding RNA, 253 nt
Filed under: Junco hyemalis (dark-eyed junco)
Lineage: Eukaryota; Metazoa; Chordata; Aves; Passeriformes; Passerellidae
Description: lncRNA (ENSJHYG00000018329.1)
Source: RNAcentral